UGGGGAAUAUUGCACAAUGGGCGAAAGCCUGAUGCAGCAACGCCGCGUGAGGGACGACGGCCUUCGGGUUGUAAACCUCUUUUAGCAAGGAAGAAGCGAAAGUGACGGUACUUGCAGAAAAAGCGCCGGCUAACUACGUGCCAGCAGCCGCGGUAAUACGUAGGGCGCAAGCGUUAUCCGGAAUUAUUGGGCGUAAAGAGCUCGUAGGCGGUUUGUCGCGUCUGCUGUGAAAACCCGAGGCUCAACCUCGGGCCUGCAGUGGGUACGGGCAGACUAGAGUGCGGUAGGGGAGAUUGGAACUCCUGGUGUAGCGGUGGAAUGCGCAGAUAUCAGGAAGAACACCGAUGGCGAAGGCAGAUCUCUGGGCCGUAACUGACGCUGAGGAGCGAAAGGGUGGGGAGCAAAACAGGCUUAGAUACCCUGGUAGUCCACCCCGUAAACGUUGGGAACUAGUUGUGGGGUCCAUUCCACGGAUUCCGUGACGCAGCUAACGCAUUAAGUUCCCCGCCUGGGGAGUACGGCCGCAAGGCUAAAACUC
Molecule: ribosomal RNA, 538 nt
Filed under: uncultured bacterium
Lineage: Bacteria
Description: partial 16S ribosomal RNA
Rfam family: Bacterial small subunit ribosomal RNA
Source: RNAcentral